RNAcentral lists this ribosomal RNA (492 nucleotides) under uncultured bacterium. RNAcentral's name for it is "partial 16S ribosomal RNA". It matches the Rfam family "Bacterial small subunit ribosomal RNA", at positions 29 to 507 of the family's 1533-position model. The record is from RNAcentral.
AGUGAACGCUGGCGGUAGGCCUAACACAUGCCAGUCGAACGGCAGCACAGUAAGAGCUUGCUCUUACGGGUGGCGAGUGGCGGACGGGUGAGGAAUACGUCGGAAUCUACUUUUUCGUGGGGGAUAACCUAGGGAAACUUACGCUAAUACCGCAUACGACCUACGGGUGAAAGCAGGGGAUCUUCGGACCUUGCGCGAUUGAAUGAGCCGAUGUCGGAUUAGCUAGUUGGCGGGGUCAAGGCCCACCAAGGCGACGAUCCGUAGCUGGUCUGAGAGGAUGAUCAGCCACACUGGAACUGAGACACGGUCCAGACUCCUACGGGAGGCAGCAGUGGGGAAUAUUGGACAAUGGGCGCAAGCCUGAUCCAGCCAUACCGCGUGGGUGAAGAAGGCCUUCGGGUUGUAAAGCCCUUUUGUUGGGAAAGAAAAGCAGCAGGUUAAUACCCCGCUGUUCUGACGGUACCCAAAGAAUAAGCACCGGCUAACUUCGUG